AGACAGACACACACACUGAAAGUAAAUGAUUAGACUAAUAUAUGUAUACUCUAUAAGCAUAUGCACACACACACACACAGAAAGACACACAUAUACAUGCACAAACAUUUUGUUGCAGAUAUAGGUAUUUGAAAUAAGUGAUAGGUGACAAUAAACUUAUUGCAAGUCUUCUCUUUUUAAGAGUUUAGAUGUCAUUUUCAGGUUAAACUGUAAUCACAAUGUGGCAAAAUAGUAAAAACUGAUAUAUCUGUAAGAACAAAAUGGAAAACAUUGACUCAAUGAGAUUUAAAAUGUUACAACAGUUACAUUUUUAAUGUUUUGGGAUGAAUUCAUGAAUCCUUUCAACAGUACUGUUCAACUUAACUGAAUGAGCCCAUUAGUGGUCUUCCACUGCCAUCUACAGGUUAUAAAUUGCAUUUACUCAAGCAACACUGUUUUUAAACAUAACUGUUAUAGUGUUUUUUUUUUUUUUUUUUU
Molecule: long non-coding RNA, 477 nt
Organism: Carassius gibelio (silver crucian carp)
Lineage: Eukaryota; Metazoa; Chordata; Actinopteri; Cypriniformes; Cyprinidae
Exons: 2
Source: RefSeq, a predicted model, not a curated record